Long non-coding RNA from Episyrphus balteatus (marmalade hoverfly), 444 nucleotides. RefSeq lists it as uncharacterized. The transcript is spliced from 3 exons. The record is from RefSeq and is a predicted model, not a curated record. NCBI's taxonomy places the organism in Eukaryota, Metazoa, Arthropoda, Insecta, Diptera, Syrphidae.
AAAAAAUGCUUGUCAAAAAAAAAAAAAAAAACAAUUCAAUUAUUUUUGCAGAAAUUGUUUGGAAUUUUAUGUUUCCCAACACAAAAAGAUCGAAAAACAUUUUUAAAAAAUGGAUGUUCCUAUCUUUCGAAAUGGACCAACCCAACAGAAACAUCAUGGCUCCAUGUACUAACUUGUCCAAUGAACUAUGUCGCUUGAAUUAAUAACAUCAUGAUAACAAAGGGUCCUAUCAUCGAAAGACAAUACAGAACGUGUUGUCAUCAACAUCAAUAAUUCCCAGUACCAGCAGCAGAAAUUCAAUUCAAGUUCUGCAGAAUGAAGAGUGCCUCAAAAUGACUUUCUACACAUGCCCCCCAAUCAGGGUGAUGAUAUGUUUCAUGGAUGGACGAUGCUUACGACGGCUACAGCAACAGCAUUAGACACUACGGAUGAUACCGUAAACGA